GUGGAAUCUGGAGAAUAAGACAUCAACUGCUUCAGAGGAAAAAAGCAUCAUGUAAUAGGAAAGUAAUACAGACGCAUUGAGGAAGAAUAAUUGAAAGUAAUGACUUUUCUGUAACAACAGAAAACUAUUUCCAUAGCAGACCAAAGUCCCAGGAUUCUCAUUGCACAGGAGUCACUGCAGGAUAUGCAAAUAUUUUCAAUUUAAGAUGACAUUUGCCAAUUCUAAUUCUUUGGGAUGUUCUCGCAGUGGAGUUAGCUAUGGAAUUGAAGUUUUGCUGGACAUGUACAAGACUAAC
Molecule: long non-coding RNA, 295 nt
Organism: Cygnus olor (mute swan)
Lineage: Eukaryota; Metazoa; Chordata; Aves; Anseriformes; Anatidae
Exons: 3
Source: RefSeq, a predicted model, not a curated record